This is a non-coding RNA of Macaca mulatta (Rhesus monkey), 1587 nucleotides long. The record is from RefSeq and is a predicted model, not a curated record. NCBI's taxonomy places the organism in Eukaryota, Metazoa, Chordata, Mammalia, Primates, Cercopithecidae.
UGCCCGGCCCGGCGCCGCCGAGCUACAGGGGAAGACGUCAUCAGCCUCGGAGCUGGGUCCGCUUGCUGCGCGCUGGCUCGCGGCCCGGCCCCCGCCCUGCCGUCCGGCCUGCUCUUGGCGCGUCCCCAGGGACUGGGCCCGCGCCGCGCUCCGGGCCCAGCGGGGAGGCGGAGGGCUCGCUGCCAGCUGAGGCUGACCUCUGGGAUGCGAGCGGCCGGGAGAAUGGGCGACGUGCCACCUGCCUUGGCCUCGCCGCUCCUCCGUCUCUCCCUCCCCGAGUCCCCUUCCCCGUGCCCCUCGGCCUUCGACCUGAGCCGAAAGGGGCUUCCUGCGCUUUUGCAUACUCUUGUGCCCCUUUCUCUCAUUUCCUCAUCACUAACAGGCGGGGAAACUGAGGUUCCCCAAGCGAAGCUACUGACUUGCCCAGAACCACACUACUGGGGUGUGGGGUGGGGCGGCGCGUGGGGCAGCACAGAGGCGCCUAAGAUGAAGUUUGGAGAAAAAUGAACAGCUCUGCCGAUAGAAAAGUCGUUCCUACCAAAAACGACUCGAGCGAGUUGGGGCGGAGAGGUUCAGGGCAAUGCUUUCCUGUUUCCCCGACUUUCUUUAAGGUGGCUUUAAAAUAUCUACAUUUGCCAUGAAAGUGUAAGCGAGCAAACCCCCACCGGGAAAUAAUGCUAUUCCUAGUCUGUGGCCCCCGGAAGACUUGGAGCCAAGGAAGGCAGAUCAAGGGGCUGAAAUCCCGGUCGGGGGUCGCAAGGCCCCGCGGUGGAUUCCCGGGUUUGGCGUUUGGAGGGGUGAGGGGCGACCCGCAGCGCGACUCGACGGCGCCCCCCAGGGGCCGCCCGACACGUUUCUGUCACCUUGGCUCCAGACGGAGCUUCUCCAUCCCUUUAUUACACAAAUAGGCAGUAUACUGAGUGAGCGCCCACUAAGCGCUGGGCUGGGGGGCUCCAACCCGGAACAGAAGCCGGCCCCAACCCUCGCUCCCUGUCGUCGCUUCCGUUAUAGGCUGAAGGCAAAAUCCAAUCCCGGGCCGUUGUGGGCGGAUUGCCAGGACAUGGAUCGCAACGCUUGGGAAGACCCCCCGCCCCCAACGCCCAGCGAUAUCCAUGCCCUGAGUCCCAGUGACGGCCCCCUGGACAGCACAGCCUGCUGCAGCGACGCGACGCGCUAGGAAAAGUUUGCCAACCCCGAUAGGAGCUCAUGGAUGAAAAGUACUUUAGAACAAUGCCUGGCACAGACUCGGAAGCAAGGGCAUGGUUUCUUGUCUCUCUUGGUCCCCAGUACAAAUCUCAAAGCAAGGCUUGUUGAACAAAUAAAUGAAGACGAGCCCAGGAGCCCAGGAAAGGGACCAGGAACAGCAGGGCCUCCAUGACUCACACAAGCCUCAUCCCUGAAGCAAGGAUGCAGCUGCCAACAAUGGCCCCAAGCCACGCCCGCCACUGGGGGAACUGAUGCUGCGGUGAGAAGUGACAGCUUUCUGUUGAUUCUUUUCUUUCUUUUUCUAAAACAGAAUAUGAAUUGAGACAUAAUUUCAUUUUCAUAAUGAGAAAACACUUAGUAACUAAUGUUGUUGGAAGCAAA